Molecule: ribosomal RNA, 494 nt
Filed under: uncultured bacterium
Lineage: Bacteria
Description: bacterial SSU rRNA
Rfam family: Bacterial small subunit ribosomal RNA
Source: RNAcentral
GAUGAACGCUAGCGGGAGGCCUAACACAUGCAAGCCGAGCGGUAGAGAUUCUUCGGAAUCUUGAGAGCGGCGUACGGUGCGGAACACGUGUGCAACCUACCUUUAUCUGGAGGAUAGCCUUUCGAAAGGAAGAUUAAUACUCCAUAAUAUAUUGAUUGGCAUCAAUUGAUAUUGAAAGCUCCGGCGGAUAGAGAUGGGCACGCGCAAGAUUAGUUAGUUGGUGAGGUAACGGCUCACCAAGACGAUGAUCUUUAGGGGGCCUGAGAGGGUGAUCCCCACACUGGUACUGAGACACGGACCAGACUCCUACGGGAGCAGCAGUGAGGAAUAUUGGUCAAUGGGUGCAAGCCUGAACCAGCCAUCCCGCGUGAAGGACGACUGCCCCUAUGGGUUGUAAACUUCUUUUGUAUAGGGAUAAACCUACCCUCGUGAGGGUAGCUGAAGGUACUAUACGAAUAAGCACCGGCUAACUCCGUGCCAGCAGCCGCGGUAAU